GGGCGAUUGGCGCAGCGGUAGCGUAUCACAUUGACAUUGUGGGGGUCACGUGUUCGAAUCACGUAUCGCCCA
Molecule: transfer RNA, 72 nt
Filed under: Candidatus Scatousia excrementipullorum
Lineage: Bacteria
Description: tRNA-Val
Rfam family: tRNA
About the family: Transfer RNA (tRNA) molecules are approximately 80 nucleotides in length.
Source: RNAcentral